This 119-nucleotide ribosomal RNA is filed under the name Nicotiana sylvestris (wood tobacco). Lineage: Eukaryota; Viridiplantae; Streptophyta; Magnoliopsida; Solanales; Solanaceae. The record is from RNAcentral.
GGAUGCGAUCAUACCAGCACUAACGCACCGGAUCCCAUCAGAACUCCGAAGUCAAGCGGGCUUGGGCGAGAGUAGUACUAGGAUGGGUGACACCCUGGGAAGUCCUCGUGUUGCAUCCC